GACGAACGCUGGCGGCGUGCCUAAUACAUGCAAGUAGAACGCUGAAGAGAGGAGCUUGCUCUUCUUGGAUGAGUUGCGAACGGGUGAGUAACGCGUAGGUAACCCGCCUGGUAGCGGGGGAUAACUAUUGGAAACGAUAGCUAAUACCGCAUAAUAGCAGUUAUUGCAUGAUAACUGUUUGAAAGGUGCAAAUGCAUCACUACCAGAUGGACCUGCGUUGUAUUAGCUAGUUGGUGAGGUAACGGCUCACCAAGGCGACGAUACAUAGCCGACCUGAGAGGGUGAUCGGCCACACUGGGACUGAGACACGGCCCAGACUCCUACGGGAGGCAGCAGUAGGGAAUCUUCGGCAAUGGACGGAAGUCUGACCGAGCAACGCCGCGUGAGUGAAGAAGGUUUUCGGAUCGUAAAGCUCUGUUGUAAGAGAAGAACGAGUGUGAGAGNGGAAAGUUCACACNG
Molecule: ribosomal RNA, 459 nt
Filed under: uncultured bacterium
Lineage: Bacteria
Description: bacterial SSU rRNA
Rfam family: Bacterial small subunit ribosomal RNA
Source: RNAcentral